AUGUUGCAAGGUGGCGAAC
Molecule: unclassified non-coding RNA, 19 nt
Filed under: Dictyostelium discoideum
Lineage: Eukaryota; Evosea; Eumycetozoa; Dictyosteliales; Dictyosteliaceae
Source: RNAcentral